UUCGUGACUCACAAUGCUAUCUCAUUGUGGCACCUGCUACUGUUUCCAUGCAUCAUGCACAGGCCCAGAUGGAAAGAUGGGGCCCAGGGGUGCAGUCCCACCUAACAUCUGAAAGGGACCUGAUGAAUGCCCACACAUCUUAUCGUCCUCCCAACCCUUCCCCACUCUACAUUCCAGCUUCUGACUUCACUCCCCUGCAUUCUCCUACUGGGGCCCCCUACAUCCACUCUACCACCCCCUACUGUCUUCUCCACACAGCCAACUUGCAAAACGGAAAUCUAUGUCCCUCCCCUGCCAAAGCCCCUCUGCCUUCCAGCCUCCGAGUGAAGGUUACCAUGCCACUCGUGACCUGGUUCCGCUAAGCCCUCAAGGUUCAUCUCUUGCCACCACCCUCCAUUUCCACGCUUUAUGAUGAACUACUCCUUCCAAGAUCUCAAACGGAGUCUUUGGCCUCUCUCGGCCAGACCUCACACUCGCUAUCCCCCAAUGAGGCUGGUCUAUACUCCUUGUCCCGACAUGGCUGGCUCUAUUGUCUUUCAGGCAGAUGUCACUUCGCCCAGGAAGCCCUCCCUCUAAGACCUUUCAUCUGUGUUCUCAUGUCAUCUUUCCUCCCUACUGGCACUCUUGAGCACCACACAGAUUCCUAAUUUCCUAACUACCUAUUGGUGGUCCUCACAGAACUAGAACCACGUGGAGAUUGGCGGUUGUAUGUAUCUUAUUUACCAGCUGGUUCUGUGCAGGUGCGAGGACCCAGCUUUGUUUUUUUACCAGCUGAAUCACCUUGAACACUCAUUGGACCUCACUAAACCUCAAUUGACUCAGCUGUGAAAAACCUUCAGGCCUGGCUUGGGGUACCUUCCUGUACAGCUCAUGGGAAAGGAGAGGAGGGAUGAGCAGAUUCCCUGGGUCCUGCCGGCUUUACUGACUUUGGUUAUUAAGAAGAUAAUAUUCUGGGUCUCCCCGGAUGGACACACAUUAAAGCCACCCUGUUUGGGAAUAGACACCGAUUAAGUUCAGCUUAGAAUUACUCCCAUAAGCAACCAAGAUGUCUUUCAUAGGCGAAUGAAUGAUAUAUCCAGAUACUGGAAUAACUCAACACUUUUAAAAAAUAAAUUAUCAAGCCACAAAGAGAUAUAGAGGAGCCUUCAUUGCACAUCACUAAGUGAAAGAAGCCAGUCUGAAAAGGAUAUAAACUAUAUGAUUCCAACUCUAUCGGGGUCCCGAAGCCCCGAGCUGCGGGCUAGUAAAGGUAGCCUGUUAGGAA
This 1264-nucleotide long non-coding RNA is filed under the name Homo sapiens (human). RNAcentral describes it as "HSALNT0371767". The record is from RNAcentral. Lineage: Eukaryota; Metazoa; Chordata; Mammalia; Primates; Hominidae.